GAAGAGUAUUUUUGUUUCAUUAAAUGAUUAACACAUGUUUUGUGUGUCGGAGAACCCCAUUUCUUGACUGAAAUUUGAUUAUAGCCUGUAAAAUCGCCCGUUUAUGGAUUUCGGUCAAUUUCUAUUUGGACUUUGGAAAAACUUUCUUCUGUAAAGUUGUAGAGAAUUGAAUUUCCUAUAAAAAUUCGCAAGAUUUGAAUUUUCUGAUAAAAGGGCUAUUUAUUAUGAAUUAUUGAAGUUCCGAAGUUCCGAAAUAAUUGAUUUUUAGAAGUUUUUAUUAUUUUUUAAAAGAAAAACAUUUUUUUGUCAUUUGGUGGGCUCCAAUGGUGUUUCAAACAUGCUGAAUUCAGUUGUCAAAGAGGUGAGCGUGAAUAAUAUUUAUAAUAAUAUUAUUAUAUUAAAUUUUCUGCUUUGGUGUUUUAAGCAUUUUCCUAUAAAUAGGUGCUUAGGUUAGAAUUGAAAAUAACACCAGAAACUGAAGUUUUCUCUCUAUUUCUCUCUCUAUAAUAUCGAGCGUAUUUUAUGAGUAUUUUAGUACUUUGAGUAUUGUUAUACGGUGCAAGUUCGUUCAGCGUUAUAUCCGACAUUCCAGUACUGCUCUUUCGAGGUAAGGGAUUGUAAAGGAUAAUAAGGGAUAGUAAGGGAGAUUAUUUUCUUCAUAAAUGAUAUUGUUUCUUCAAUAUCAUUAUACCGAAAUAUUGGUUUGAAACUUUUUUAUGUCGGAGUUACUAUUCACGAGUUACUAUUCAUGAGUUACUAUUCACGAUUUACUAUUCACGAGUUACUAUUCACGACGGAUUACUAUUCAUGAGUUACUAUUCAUGAGUUACUAUUCAUGAGUUACUAUUCACGGGUACUAUUCA
Molecule: long non-coding RNA, 863 nt
Filed under: Panax ginseng (ginseng)
Lineage: Eukaryota; Viridiplantae; Streptophyta; Magnoliopsida; Apiales; Araliaceae
Description: long non-coding RNA (PGIN_LNC008197)
Source: RNAcentral